Molecule: long non-coding RNA, 1553 nt
Organism: Ctenopharyngodon idella (grass carp)
Lineage: Eukaryota; Metazoa; Chordata; Actinopteri; Cypriniformes; Xenocyprididae
Exons: 5
Source: RefSeq, a predicted model, not a curated record
UCUAACUUCUCUCGCACACUUACACACAGAGGACUCGGCUGCUGCUUUCUGAUGGGACUGUAAAAGCCACCGAUACUGGAAGUGGUCCAAAGAUCAAGUACAAUGAGAGAAACGUCGGGAUGUACCUUGUCAUUGAUGCUGAUAUCGGACUGACAAUUUUGUGGGAUCGCAAAACCACCAUCCGCAUCAUUCUGCAACCUCAGCACAUGGGAGACGUUUGUGGCUUGUGUUGAAAUUUCAAUGGAAAUGGAAAAGAUGACUUCACCACUCAGGGAAAUUUGCCAACUACAAAUGUAUUGGAGUUUGUGGACAGCUGGAAAGUGUUAAGCACCUGCCCUGAUGCAAAACCAGACUUUAACCCGUGCCUUGAGACCCCCAAUCGAGAGACAUGGGCAAAAAUACAAUGUAUCAUCAUAAAGGAAGUUACGUUCAAAGACUGCCAUAACAAGGUGGAUCCAAACCCAUAUUAUGAGAACUGUGUGAAGGACUCUUGCUCAUGUGACACAGGUGGAGAUUGUGAGUGCUUCUGUACAGCUGUGGCAGCUUACGCUCAAGCCUGCAAUGAGGCGGGUGUUUGUGUCGUUUGGAGAACACCUGAGAUCUGCCUUGUGUAGUGACUACUACAAUAAACAUGGAGAAUGCACAUGGCACUACAGUCCUUGUCAUACACCUGAUGGUAUAUGCAAAUAACACUGGACCCAUCCUGGAAGACACGCCAUGCUCCAACAUCCACCAAUCACAGCGCACAGCUUCCCCUGAGUACUGAUCACCGCCACCUGCACCUCAUCAGCUCACUCAUCACCAGCACUACUUAAGACACUCACACACACAGUCACAUUGUCUGGUCUCAUUCGCAUCUAAGGACUUACCUGUAUGCUUACCUCAAGGACGCUCCUCGCUACUUACCGGUUCCCUUGUCUCUGAGUUCCCUCCAUCGUCUCCAGUCUGUGUGUGAAGUAUUGUCUGCAGUCAUCGUCUCCAGUCAGCAAGUAUCAUUCUCCAUCGGCACUCUGCAACCACAAAGGACAGUAUCAUACUCUAUACCAUUCACCAGUCACGAACUUGCAUCUGCAUACUCACCUGUUGUCACCAUCUACUCUGCUUGUGUUCAAUAAACAACCUGUUAACUUAUCUCCUGUCUCCUGGCUGGUCCUAUUGUAACACAUGCCUUGUUUCUCUUGCAUUGCAUGGAAAGAAAGUGUACCUAAGCAAUGUCUUGUAUUAUCAAACAACUUACAUCACAUGGCCAUUAUUACAUUAAAUGUAUUUUGUAUUAAACCAAGUUUUUCACAGAACCAUAAAAAAAAACAAAAAAAAAAACACGUUAUAUAAACACAUUUAUAAAUGUAUUGCAUUUUGCACUUCUGGUCAGAUGACAAUAAAGUUGAAUCUAAUCUAAUGUUUUGUAUUAAACCAAACCAAGCUACCAAAGACAACCUGUUCAUGUUUGUUAGAGAUCUUGGUACUUGAUGAAUUUCACUUGAAUGUAAUUUCAUUUCUUGUUAGAUGCAUUUGACAUCCUGUUAGUACAAGUUAAACAAAUUUAACCUUGU